RNAcentral lists this ribosomal RNA (253 nucleotides) under uncultured bacterium. Its description in RNAcentral is "partial 16S ribosomal RNA". It matches the Rfam family "Bacterial small subunit ribosomal RNA", at positions 524 to 776 of the family's 1533-position model. The record is from RNAcentral.
UACGGGGGGGGCAAGCGUUGUUCGGAAUUACUGGGCGUAAAGGGUUCGUAGGUGGCUUGCUAAGUCAGACGUGAAAUCCCUCAGCUUAACUGGGGAACUGCGUCUGAUACUGGCGAGCUUGAGUGCAGGAGAGGAACGCAGAAUUCCAGGUGUAGCGGUGAAAUGCGUAGAUAUCUGGAGGAACACCGGUGGCGAAGGCGGCUCACUGGCCCGGUACUGACGCUCAUGUGCGAAAGCGUGGGGAGCAAACAGG